UCGAAAUCGGUAGACGCUACGGACUUAAAAUCCGUCGACUUUAUAAGUCGUGAGGGUUCAAGUCCCUCUAUCC
RNAcentral lists this transfer RNA (73 nucleotides) under Moorochloa eruciformis. RNAcentral describes it as "partial tRNA-Leu". Lineage: Eukaryota; Viridiplantae; Streptophyta; Magnoliopsida; Poales; Poaceae. The record is from RNAcentral.